AAGAGGCAAACAUUUCGAGUAGCUUUUUUGGUCUCUAUUCAUUGCAAGUUAUUCUUACAUUUUACUUAGGAACUACAGUUUUAAUUAAGUCUGUCAUGAUCAUUAUGAAACUUUUAAACAUUUGGUUUUGAGAAGACUUGAAACUCUAGAGACUUCAGAGAGAAACAAAGACUGCGAAGUAUAUUAAAAAAAAUAAUUACUGUGAGUGUAAAAUUAUGAUUAAAAAGCUUUAUAUGAACUAGGAGACGCAUUGUUACAUUUUCCAGUGUAUUGUGUGAAUAUCUUUAGAUUUUAUUUCUUCUGAAUGCCAAACACCACCUUUCUUUUACUCUUCUGCCAUCUUGUGGUAAUAAGUAUAACAUAUGCAGUUCUUGUGGGAUCAGUGGAGCCAUCAUGCUUCAGCUUCUGUAUGCAACUAUUUAUUACUCAGUCUAAAGCAUAUCUUUAAUGUGAAGCUUUAUACUUCAUGCUAUGAUAUCUGGAUAAUACAUUUUGAAUGCAAACCUUGUCUACAACAUACUAUUUUGUAACAAGCUGAUGUUCGUAAAUUUGUUAAAUUGUUCAUGAAUAUCCAGAGGUAAAGACAAAACUAAUGAGGCUUAUAUAACAUGAUUAGCAGCUGUAUCUAUUGUCCAACCACAAGAGGGCACACUAGUCUGUAAUAAGUAUUUUUGUGUACGGUGUUUUAAUAAAUCAUAUAGCAUCAGUGUUAACAUGGUGGUUAACAUGGACUGGUAACUAUACCAUCUGGAUUCAAAAGGCAUGCAAUUUCAGACCCAUAGUUGGAGCUCUAAAGCAGUGCUGAUAUUGACUGUGGUUUGGGUGAGUCCACGUAUCUGUCCUCAAAGAUGAUUGGCAGGCUGUUCCAGUCUCCGUCGAUGUCCAGGCAUUCCACAGGAAGUGGAGGCAUUCGGAGCAGGAAUUUGAUUAGUCAAGUGUUUCACAAACCUGCAGUUCAAUGGUGAGCUGGUUUAAUGUUUCUUCAAGCGGGAGGUCCUCUGGAAACGAGAACAUAAGGAAAGAGUUCGAGUCACAAACAAAAAAUAUCAUGAAGAAAGAAAACCUAAUGGGUUCUGAAGGACAAUGAGGUUGAGGGAUCUCCUUCAUUAGCGCCGUGUAAUAGGAGCGCAGAGCUCUGUGAGCCGCCAGCAACAGUUUACAGAUGCGCCGGUGCCACGUGUAACCUCUCUGCAGACAGUUCUCCGACGGCACGUAAAAACUGCC
Onychostoma macrolepis is the source of this 1224-nucleotide long non-coding RNA. RefSeq lists it as uncharacterized. The record is from RefSeq and is a predicted model, not a curated record. The transcript has 5 exons. NCBI's taxonomy places the organism in Eukaryota, Metazoa, Chordata, Actinopteri, Cypriniformes, Cyprinidae.